UACAAUCUUUGUUAUAUUAUUAAAAUUACAUGAAAAUUAUUUAAAAUGGGAAUAAAGAAUUUAAUUUAAUAUUAAUAUCAAAAUACAAUAUAAGUAAAAUUAUAAUUAUUUUAUAUUCUCAGUAUGAAUUUUUAGUCGAUAUAUGUAAAUAUGAACUAGUGAAUAAUAAUUUAAAUAAAUCUGAUAAAUAUUUGUGCCAGCAUUCGCGGUUAAACUUUAAGGUUAAAUGAAGAAAAUAAUAUUAAGUUACUUAAUAAAUAUUAGUUAUAUUAUUCUAAAUAAUAAUAGGUGAAAUUAUUGUUAUUAUAUAAGUUUAAAUUAUAUUUUAAGGAAGCUAAUAAGCUUUAAAGAUAAACUAGGAUUAGAUACCCUAUUAUAUUAAAGUUUAAUAAAUAAAUGUUGAAUUAUUAAUAGGUAUAACUUAAAACUUUAAGAAUUUGGCGGUAAUUUAGUCUUGUCAGAGGAACCUGUUUAAAAUUAAUCGAUAUACCUCGUAGUAUCUUACUUGUUUUUAGUUUGUAUACCAUCAUUAUUAGAUGAUUUCUAAUGAAUUAAUCAUUAAAAUUAAAAAUUUUAAAAAAAUUAGAUCAAGGUGCAGCUUAUAAAUAAGUUUAAAUGGGUUACAAUAAGUUUUAUUUAAAUGGAAAAGAUCAGUAAGAAGGGUUUAAGAAGGCGGAUUUGAUAGUAAUAUAAGUUUAAUAAGCUUGUAAGAUAAAAGCUCUAAAUUAUGUACAUAUCGCCCGUCGCUUUCAUUAAAUAAUGAGAUAAGUCGUAACAUAGUAGAUGUACUGGAAAGUGCAUCUAGAAUUA
This 810-nucleotide non-coding RNA is filed under the name Nanhaipotamon longhaiense. Lineage: Eukaryota; Metazoa; Arthropoda; Malacostraca; Decapoda; Potamidae. The record is from RNAcentral.